Molecule: transfer RNA, 86 nt
Filed under: Dipterosiphonia australica
Lineage: Eukaryota; Rhodophyta; Florideophyceae; Ceramiales; Rhodomelaceae
Description: tRNA-Glu
Rfam family: tRNA
About the family: Transfer RNA (tRNA) molecules are approximately 80 nucleotides in length. Their secondary structure includes four short double-helical elements and three loops (D, anti-codon, and T loops). Further hydrogen bonds mediate the characteristic L-shaped molecular structure. tRNAs have two regions of fundamental functional importance: the anti-codon, which is responsible for specific mRNA codon recognition, and the 3' end, to which the tRNAs corresponding amino acid is attached (by aminoacyl-tRNA synthetases). tRNAs cope with the degeneracy of the genetic code in two manners: having more than one tRNA (with a specific anti-codon) for a particular amino acid; and 'wobble' base-pairing, i.e. permitting non-standard base-pairing at the 3rd anti-codon position.
Source: RNAcentral
GAGAAAGUGGCUGAGUGGUUUAAAGCGACAAUUUUUUCACAAUUUUAAAAAUAUAAAUAUCAUGGGUUCAAAUCCUAUCUUUCUCC